Long non-coding RNA from Gallus gallus (chicken), 4717 nucleotides. RefSeq lists it as uncharacterized. NCBI's taxonomy places the organism in Eukaryota, Metazoa, Chordata, Aves, Galliformes, Phasianidae. The record is from RefSeq and is a predicted model, not a curated record. The transcript has 3 exons.
AUCAAAGAGAAUUUCCCUUUAGCUUAGCGAUGUGUCGGAAUGGCUCUCGCAAAGAUCGGAUCGGAGAGGGGGAAAAAUAGGGGGAAGCCUUCAUCCCGGAGCGAUCCUACACGCACUUUGCAGCCGCAUUCCGCCUUCAGCCUCAGGAAAAGUUGCCCCCAAACAAGCAAAAAAAAAAAAAGAAAAAAAAAAAAGUGGCAGCCGUAGGAACUGUUUUUUUUUUUUUAAUUACUAUUUUAUUUUUAAUUAUUUUUUAAGGAAGGGAAAAAGAAAAAAAAACCAACAAAAACAACCAAACAAAACAGCCAAUGCGACCAAACCCCUUUCCGACCUCCUGCGCUCCGUUCGGAUAGCAGCUCCGGGCAGGUAUACAGAGCCGCACUAACUCGGGCUCAACGGGGAGCGACUUUUGUGCUCAGAGAACCCCCAGAUCAGCUCCCGGGAUGGAAAGGAACUGUAACUUCUGCUGCUCAGGUCUGUGGGAGGCUGGUCCCUCUUUGAACAUCUGGAGUGGUGUGUGGCUGCAUUCAUUGGAAGAGGAACCCCACGUGGAAAACCAGGGCCAGAGCUAAAGGCAGGAUUCAACUCCUCUUCACCCUUGAUGUGCUGGCCCAGCUCCAAGGAGAUGCUAAGGUAGCAGCUCAUACAACUCUGCUGGCUUUGGAAGGGAGCUUGGGAGUCCCCAGAUCCUUCUUGUUCGUGUAUUGGCUCCAGUCUCAUCACUUACAUGGAGAUUUGCUUGCAGUUGGGUUUUGCUGGAAGAUGAAGAGCAGGAAGCUCAGUAAGAAGAGCCACAUCCAAUGUUUCAGUGAGGGACUUCAGGAACCAUCGUUCUUCCCUAAAAAUGACAUGCCUAGAUUCCUCUGGCCACCCUGGGUUAUCUUCCACGUGGCCAACAGCAGUAAUUUUCUGUGAUCUAGGAAUAUCCCACUAGGCUUUCUAUUUCGCACUGUAAAUAAGUGGUUGCUUUUAACUCACUCCUUGUCAUAAUUUCACACACUCCUUGGUGUAUCAGAGCAUAAUAAAGAAGAUCAGAAGCCACAGUGCCUGACGUGGCUGCUUUACAUGUCUGCUCAAGACAGCCCUCACCAAAAUCCUUCCUUUGAAGUCAAGAGAAGAUCCACAUGGACAAUAGAUCCCCACUAUGUACGUGACCCAGCACUCAUCAAAUACAGUAACAUGCUACAGAUUACUUCUCCCCAAAUAUUUAUUGGACCCUAUGCAUUUUUGUCUUAGCUCGAUGGUGUUCAAGUCACACAACCCCCAAGGAUACAUGGAAUUUCCCAUGCUCGCUGCACUGAACUUCACAUCUAUGGUUGGGUUGGCAACCACCUCCCAGGAUGAGCUCUGGACCCAUGGAAACAUCAGUACAGCUGCAUUUGGGAGCUAAGCUAAUAUUUUCCACUUUCAGUAAUAAAGCAUGUGGCAUGAUUUCCAUCCAACACAAAACCUGCGUGCGAUCCCAUGUAUUGGCAGGACCACCAGUGGGAACUGAACUGGGUGAAGAAAGAAACCAUUUUUCCUACAUUUACCAUUUUAAUUGACUUCUCCUUUCAUUUGUUCCCCUUUGGUGCCCUCUGACUACAAACGUUCAAGUGGCUGUAGUAACCCCCAGGAAAAAAAAUAGUUGUGCUAAAUGAGAUUUUUUUUUAUGUGUGGGUGUUUAAGUAUCUGCAUGAAGCAAAUUUCUACCCUCUUCUAAUCAGAAUGGGAAGGAGACCAUGUGAGUGAUGUGACCAAUUAUGACCGAGCACCCCAGAGCAGCGUCUGAAUAUUCACGUCCAAUUGCUACUUUGGUGGAACAAUUGGUUUGAACAGUUUGAAAAGGCAAUGAUGUCAAACGUGCAGCGUGAUUAAACACGGUGAAAUUACCAGCCGUUGAGCUGAAAGAGGAGCUCUGUUCACUUCCCAGAGCGAUGCUGCUUUCAAAUUUUGCUCUGAUGGGAGCAGGAAACACCAUGCCCAGGUGGCCUUAUCCCGGAGUCCCAAAUUGCUCAGUGCAGAGGUGCAGCUGAGCUUCGGAGGUAGCAUGGACUGGGAUUUGGGAUGCGUGCAGCAAGCUAAAUGCGUCCCCUUUACCCUGACCCUAAAGUAGGCACAAUCCUGUUCCUCUGGUAGUUCAUUCUGCAAGAACACCACGCUGCAUAUGUGAUCUGAAUCGAUGCUUUUUGGGGCCAAGUAUCUGGGAGCUGAACCAUCCCAACAACAGGCAAACGCUCCGCCUUCCCCACUGGCAUCAGAUGGGAGCUCUGCUGCUUUCUGUGGACAUGGUAUCAUUGCCUUCCUCACACCUAUGUCUGCAUCAUUGAAACCGCCUAUGCCCUCCCAGAAAAUAGACCAUAAAUUCCUCCCCCCCAGCUCUCUCUUGUUUUAAAAAUGUGUAUACCACAGUACGCUGUAGUUCAGUACUAACUCCAGCUUUCUGAUAAUACAGGCUCAAGCAUUAGGAGAAAUAGCAUUUUUGUCGUGGUGCAUGGAGCACUGUGCAGUUCCCAGAUGGCAGAAGGGAGCCAUGAACACACACGGGGAGCAUAAAGUAAUGCAUCCUCAGCUUCGUGCCUUGUGCUGAGCCUCUGUCAGAGAGCGUGGGCGCCGAGACCCUAUGCCUCUGGCUGCUCCAUUUGGGGCCAGCUCCAAAAACAAUCGCCCUCCUCCUGCUCCCCAUCAGGGAAAGUGAUUGCACUUGCUUGGGUACAAAAAAAAAAAAAUGUUUUUCUUAACACAUUUGUGCAAAAUGCUUUUUAAACACGAUGCACGAGCCAUACAGGAGCAAACAGCCCUUAUAAAUCCUCCCUGAAACUGGGAAACUUUUUCUUUCUCUUUCUUCUCAUUUCCUACCCAGAGGUCUGAGCUAAUUUUCUCUAUCCAUUUUUUCUUUCUCUUUCUUCUCAUUUCCUACCCAGAGGUCUGAGCUAAUUUUCCCUAUCCAUAGGGUCCCCCCACCCCCUCAAAAAAAGGAGGGGGGGAGACUGUAUUCACUAAUUAUACAUCCUGAAAAGAAUUUGGUUCAGUGUAAGAUGAUCCUAGUGAUAUGCUAAUCCUUUUUUCUGCUUGGUGCAGCCUGAAGCCUGUGUCUAACAUUUUUUUCAACUGUAUGACAAUAAAAGUUGUGGCAACAAAAGAAAUAAAUGGGCAGCUAAAGAAGGUAUAGCUGAAACACAUGGCAGACCAGUUCUCUCCUCUCCUUCUGGCUGCUCUUUUGUAGGCUCUGGUUGGGUAUCCUCAAGUCAAUAGCCGAAAGCCAGCCACCUUAGCAACUUAGUAUGACACCCAAGCCCUCUCUCUUUACAUUCAUGAAUAGUCAGCAAGCAGCAGACAAAAUAGAACUAAUCUUUUUUGACAGAAUUGUUCAAUUUUAGAGGAAAGGCUUUUGAGGCACCUUCCAUACACUUGCAGAAUAUGAGACAACAAUGGCCACGAUCACAGUUCACAAAAGGACGACCAGGGGUGUGAGCGCACACACACGCACACAACAGCCAUUUCGGUGGAAUAUUGCAGCCAAAUUGAAGUUAUUGCAGGAUACGGUCAUUGUGGCAGGGGAAGCUGACAGGCAAAAAAAAAAUAAUAAAUAAAUGAAGCAAAAAAAACAAAACCAACAACCCUCCAUUGUUUUGUUGCUGAUUAUUAAACGUACACAUCCCGAUAAUGCGUGAUUAGGGUUAUUUGCCUUGAUUAAUAGAAGUUAAGGGAGCUGAUUAAUAUCCACUCUUUAAUUUCCUGUCAUAGGCUGAUAACUUCAUCUUUAUUUUUUUUUUCCCCUUUUUGGACCAAUGAUUCUUAUUGUGAAAUGCAUUAAAUCCAGAGGGUCCUUGCCUGCAUUUAAAGCUGGUUUUGCCAUUUCAAAAUCCUGUAACGCAGCAGCCACUCGCAAGUCUGGUGUGUGCAAAGAAGGACAUUCCUCCUUUUCCCUUCUCUCCCUUCCAUUUAAUGCAAGCCAUAUCUCUAUCUCCAAAUACACUCUGGGCAGGAAAGAGGAGAAAAUAAUAAUAAGAGGAAGAAUAAAAAUCUACCCAGUCUAUGGGCAAAAACAGAAGUUAGCAACAUGGUCCAUGCAGCUGCAACACUACAUUUAAAAUUCAGUUUACUCCUAGGAAGAGGGCUAAUCCUGCCCCUGUAAUUCCCUACAGCCAAAAUGUACCCCCCUCCCUGAGUGACAGUGCAAUGCAAAGACACUCGCACGCUUAUCUUCCCCAACCAGAUGGCCGACUUGGAUCAAUGCACACACGCCACGAUCAAUGGGAGCGAUAAAGAAUUAGGAAAACAGUGGUACAUGCUCCCAGAAAGCUUGUACACUGCAUAAUUAUUUUAUGAUUCUACACAUGGCUACAUGUGAUACUGGAGUCAAGAAGGAAAAGGAUAAUUAGAGAGCCAGAAAGCACCCGUACUGCACUACACACUUUGUCAGUCAGCAGUUCCCACUCGGCUCAAGUCACCGCCGUUAUCUUCUCUCCUGCCCUCUUGCAAAUGAAUUUCAGGAAUACGUAAAAUAUUAGGGGGAGGUGGCUUCUGGGUUACAGACACGGGAUGUGGGAGAUUACCAUGUCCUGUGAUACGACAGCAAAAGUUUUUGGCUGAGAGUCGGGGUUGGCUGUGGGCACUGGGGUGGUAUCUGAGGGGACACUGCAAUGGACGGUUUAUACAUUUGAGGGCUUUGUCAUGAGAGGGACAUGUCCAAAGCUGGAUGUCCCAUUCAUUUAAUAAAAUAUAUAUAUUACUC